This 280-nucleotide ribosomal RNA is filed under the name uncultured prokaryote. RNAcentral's name for it is "partial 16S ribosomal RNA". It matches the Rfam family "Bacterial small subunit ribosomal RNA", at positions 524 to 803 of the family's 1533-position model. The record is from RNAcentral.
UACGUAGGGGCUAGCGUUAUCCGGAAUUACUGGGCGUAAAGGGUGCGUAGGUGGUUUCUUAAGUCAGAGGUGAAAGGCUACGGCUCAACCGUAGUAAGCCUUUGAAACUGGGGAACUUGAGUGCAGGAGAGGAGAGUGGAAUUCCUAGUGUAGCGGUGAAAUGCGUAGAUAUUAGGAGGAACACCAGUUGCGAAGGCGGCUCUCUGGACUGUAACUGACACUGAGGCACGAAAGCGUGGGGAGCAAACAGGAUUAGAUACCCGUGUAGUCCCUGAGCGGG